RNAcentral lists this ribosomal RNA (448 nucleotides) under uncultured bacterium. RNAcentral's name for it is "bacterial SSU rRNA". It matches the Rfam family "Bacterial small subunit ribosomal RNA", at positions 29 to 521 of the family's 1533-position model. The record is from RNAcentral.
AACGAACGCUGGCGGCAGGCCUAACACAUGCAAGUCGAACGCUGUAGCAAUACAGAGUGGCAGACGGGUGAGUAACACGUGGGAACGUACCUUUCGGUUCGGAAUAACUCAGGGAACUUGAGCUAAUACCGGAUACGUGCGAGAGCAGAAAGAUUUAUCGCCGAAAGAUCGGCCCGCGUCCGAUUAGCUUGUUGGUGAGGUAAUGGCUCACCAAGGCGACGAUCGGUAGCUGGUCUGAGAGGAUGAUCAGCCACACUGGGACUGAGACACGGCCCAGACUCCUACGGGAGGCAGCAGUGGGGAAUAUUGGACAAUGGGCGAAAGCCUGAUCCAGCCAUGCCGCGUGAGUGAUGAAGGCCCUAGGGUUGUAAAGCUCUUUCGCCAGGGACGGAUAAAUGACGGUACCUGGAUAAGAAGCCCCGGCUAACUUCGUGCCAGCAGCCGCGGU